This 1422-nucleotide ribosomal RNA is filed under the name metagenome. Its description in RNAcentral is "bacterial LSU rRNA". It matches the Rfam family "Bacterial large subunit ribosomal RNA", at positions 1462 to 2874 of the family's 2925-position model. The record is from RNAcentral.
CGAUGUGGGGACGGAGAAGGUUAGCUCAGCCAACUGUUGGAUAUGUUGGUUCAAGCCUGUAGUCGUGCCCGGUAGGCAAAUCCGCCGGGCUUAGAUGAGGGGUGAUAACGAGGCUGCUUGCAGCCGAAGUGAGUGAUACCCUGCUUCCAGGAAAAGCCACUAAGCUUCAGCUACACACGACCGUACCGCAAACCGACACUGGUGCGCGAGAUGAGUAUUCUAAGGCGCUUGAGAGAACUCAGGAGAAGGAACUCGGCAAAUUGAUACCGUAACUUCGGGAGAAGGUAUGCCCUAAGUAAGUGAAGUUGUACAAACGGAGCUGAACAGGGUUGCAAAAAAUCGGUGGCUGCGACUGUUUAAUAAAAACACAGCACUCUGCAAACACGAAAGUGGACGUAUAGGGUGUGACGCCUGCCCGGUGCUGGAAGAUUAAAUGAUGGGGUGCAAGCUCUUGACUGAAGUCCCAGUAAACGGCGGCCGUAACGAUAACGGUCCUAAGGUAGCGAAAUUCCUUGUCGGGUAAGUUCCGACCUGCACGAACGGCGUAACGAUGGCCACACUGUCUCCUCCUGAGACUCAGCGAAGUUGAAAUGUUUGUGAUGAUGCAAUCUCCCCGCGGAAAGACGGAAAGACCCCAUGAACCUUUACUGUAGCUUUGUAUUGGACUUUGAACAGAUCUGUGUAGGAUAGGUGGGAGGCUUUGAAGUGAGGUCGCUAGAUCUCAUGGAGCCAACGUUGAAAUACCACCCUGGUGUGUUUGAGGUUCUAACCUAGGUCCAUUAUCUGGAUCGGGGACAGUGCAUGGUAGGCAGUUUGACUGGGGCGGUCUCCUCCCAAAGCGUAACGGAGGAGUUCGAAGGUACGCUAGUUACGGUCGGACAUCGUGACGAUAGUGCAAUGGCAUAAGCGUGCUUAACUGCGAGACUGACAAGUCGAGCAGAUGCGAAAGCAGGACAUAGUGAUCCGGUGGUUCUGUAUGGAAGGGCCAUCGCUCAACGGAUAAAAGGUACUCUGGGGAUAACAGGCUGAUACCGCCCAAGAGUUCAUAUCGACGGCGGUGUUUGGCACCUCGAUGUCGGCUCAUCUCAUCCUGGGGCUGUAGCCGGUCCCAAGGGUAUGGCUGUUCGCCAUUUAAAGAGGUACGUGAGCUGGGUUUAAAACGUCGUGAGACAGUUUGGUCCCUAUCUUCCGUGGGCGCUGCAGAUUUGAGGAAGCCUGCUCCUAGUACGAGAGGACCGGAGUGGACACACCUCUGGUGUAUCGGUUGUCACGCCAGUGGCAUUGCCGAGUAGCUAAGUGUGGAAGAGAUAACCGCUGAAAGCAUCUAAGCGGGAAACUCGUUUCAAGAUGAGAUCUGCCGGGGCCUUGAGCCCCCUAAAGAGUCGUUCAAGACCAGGACGUUGAUAGGUCAGGUGUGGAAGA